AAGCUUGCUUGGUGGAUCAGUGGCGAACGGGUGAGUAACACGUGAGCAACCUGCCCUGAACUCUGGGAUAAGCGCUGGAAACGGCGUCUAAUACUGGAUAUGAGCUGCGGAGGCAUCUUCGUGGUUGGAAAGAUUUUUCGGUUUGGGAUGGGCUCGCGGCCUAUCAGCUUGUUGGUGAGGUAAUGGCUCACCAAGGCGUCGACGGGUAGCCGGCCUGAGAGGGUGACCGGCCACACUGGGACUGAGACACGGCCCAGACUCCUACGGGAGGCAGCAGUGGGGAAUAUUGCACAAUGGGCGGAAGCCUGAUGCAGCAACGCCGCGUGAGGGAUGACGGCCUUCGGGUUGUAAACCUCUUUUAGCAGGGAAGAAGCGAAAGUGACGGUACCUGCAGAAAAAGCGCCGGCUAACUACGUGCCAGCAGCCGCGGUAAUACGUAGGGCGCAAGCGUUAUCCGGAAUUAUUGGGCGUAAAGAGCUCGUAGGCGGUUUGUCGCGUCUGCUGUGAAAACCCGAGGCUCAACCUCGGGCCUGCAGUGGGUACGGGCAGACUAGAGUGCGGUAGGGGAGAUUGGAAUUCCUGGUGUAGCGGUGGAAUGCGCAGAUAUCAGGAGGAACACCGAUGGCGAAGGCAGAUCUCUGGGCCGUAACUGACGCUGAGGAGCGAAAGGGUGGGGAGCAAACAGGCUUAGAUACCCUGGUAGUCCACCCCGUAAACGUUGGGAACUAGUUGUGGGGUCCAUUCCACGGAUUCCGUGACGCAGCUAACGCAUUAAGUUCCCCGCCUGGGGAGUACGGCCGCAAGGCUAAAACUCAAAGGAAUUGACGGGGACCCGCACAAGCGGCGGAACAUGCGGAUUAAUUCGAUGCAACGCGAAAAACCUUACCAAGGCUUGACAUACACGAGAACGCUGCAGAAAUGUAGAACUCUUUGGACACUCGUGAACAGGUGGUGCAUGGUUGUCGUCAGCUCCGGGUCGGGAGAUGU
This 987-nucleotide ribosomal RNA is filed under the name Microbacterium aurantiacum. Its description in RNAcentral is "partial 16S ribosomal RNA". It matches the Rfam family "Bacterial small subunit ribosomal RNA", at positions 76 to 1075 of the family's 1533-position model. The record is from RNAcentral. Lineage: Bacteria; Bacillati; Actinomycetota; Actinomycetes; Micrococcales; Microbacteriaceae.